AUGCCGUUCGGCCUGACAAAUGCUCCUGCAACCUUCCAGUGCUUGAUGAAUGCGAUCUUCGCCAAGUAUACACGUAAGUUUGUCAUCAUUUUCCUUGAUGACAUUCUGGUUUUCAGUGAGACCUGGGAAGAGCACUUGGAACAUCUUCGCCUCAUCCUGAGCCUGAGCCUGCUCCGCGAGCACCAGUUAUACGCCAAGAUGUCGAAGUGUUCGUUCGCGCAAGAUCACAUUGAUUACCUCGGCCACAUCAUCUCCAAGCAAGGCGUAGCGACCGACUUCGAGAAGACAGAAGCCAUGGCUUAG
Molecule: ribosomal RNA, 303 nt
Filed under: Triticum aestivum (bread wheat)
Lineage: Eukaryota; Viridiplantae; Streptophyta; Magnoliopsida; Poales; Poaceae
Description: partial small subunit ribosomal RNA
Source: RNAcentral